UGCUGGGUGUCAGUUUAGCGACUGGCUGA
RNAcentral lists this non-coding RNA (29 nucleotides) under Homo sapiens (human). The record is from RNAcentral. Lineage: Eukaryota; Metazoa; Chordata; Mammalia; Primates; Hominidae.